This 71-nucleotide transfer RNA is filed under the name Bos taurus (domestic cattle). It matches the Rfam family "tRNA". From Rfam's summary of the family: Transfer RNA (tRNA) molecules are approximately 80 nucleotides in length. Their secondary structure includes four short double-helical elements and three loops (D, anti-codon, and T loops). The record is from Rfam by way of RNAcentral. RNAcentral also lists the same sequence under 1 other name. Lineage: Eukaryota; Metazoa; Chordata; Mammalia; Artiodactyla; Bovidae.
UCCAUUGUGGCUCAGCUGGUAGAGAAUCUGCCUGCAAUGCAGGAGACCUGGGUUUGAUCCCUGGGUUGGGA